UACAGAGGGUGCAAGCGUUAAUCGGAAUUACUGGGCGUAAAGCGCACGCAGGCGGCGAUCCAAGUCGGAUGUGAAAGCCCCGGGCUUAACCUGGGAAUCGCAUUCGAAACUAGUUCGCUAGAGUGUGGUAGAGGGAAGUGGAAUUCCAGGUGUAGCGGUGAAAUGCGUAGAUAUCUGGAGGAACAUCAGUGGCGAAGGCGACUUCCUGGACCAACACUGACGCUCAGGUGCGAAAGCGUGGGGAGCAAACAGG
RNAcentral lists this ribosomal RNA (253 nucleotides) under uncultured bacterium. Its description in RNAcentral is "partial 16S ribosomal RNA". It matches the Rfam family "Bacterial small subunit ribosomal RNA", at positions 524 to 776 of the family's 1533-position model. The record is from RNAcentral.